AACGUUGUGGGAGCGAGCCUGCUCGCGAAAGUGCGGCAGUCCUGCAAGCUUCGCGAGCAGGCUCGCUCCCACAACAAA
RNAcentral lists this unclassified non-coding RNA (78 nucleotides) under Pseudomonas deceptionensis. Lineage: Bacteria; Pseudomonadati; Pseudomonadota; Gammaproteobacteria; Pseudomonadales; Pseudomonadaceae. The record is from RNAcentral.